CAUUUAAAGACUUCUCUCUGUGUGCAUGUCAUGUUGUACACGCUUAACGAGUCACCUGUGACUGGAUCUACUGUUACCAUGGAUACAGCGUCACCUGCUGUGAGCCGCAGAUUAAAUAUGACAGGGCCAAAACGGACAUGGCAGCAAGUCAAAAUCAAAUACAAGAACAUUCUGCAGAAUGCAGUGAAAAAGAGAACCCACAGACAAGACACGGGUGGUGGGUCACCAAUAGCUGACCUUACCCCAGACGAGGACAUAGCCUUGGAGCUAAAUAAAGGCAGGCUCGUGUUGGAGGGGAUCCCUGGGGGGACAGAGACAAGCAUAUGUUCCUCCCAAGAUGCCACCUGCUUCAUACAAGUUUCUGGCAGCACUGUCUCACUGUUAGAGCCACCAGCCCCAGACAAUGCUGAUCCAUUGAGUGCUCCAUCAAAGACAUACUUUAGGCCUGGCAUGUCUUGUCUACUAGCUUAAAUAUGAAUCCCAUUAAAUGUGAUGAAUAAAAAAAUAAAAAAUGUUCCAUGCACUGGAAUCCGAAAUAAAAAAGAGGACAAUUAGAAAACUGGACCUUGAAAUAAAAAAACUUGAGCAGGAGCUCCAAGAAGAUGACACAUCUUAAAUAAAAAAAUAAAAAACAAUGGCUGUGACAAUGGCUUGCCCAUUCUUGCGAGAUGUGGUGGAUGAGGAAGCACUUGUGCUCAGGAGAGGUGCCCAUGAGGCGGAUUUUAUGAAUAGGAAAUCCUAUCACAGCAUUAAUGUUCAGAUUGUCUGCAAUGCUGACUGUCUGAUCAGGAAUGUUGUGGCAAAAUGGCCUUGCUCAGUCCAUGACUCCAGAGUCUUUCGGACCUCUGAAAUCUAUCAGCGGCUAUCACGAGACAGGGGGUAUGCCUGCCAGCCAUAUCUCCUGACACCAUUCACAGACCCCCAGGAAGCACAGCAGGCCAACAACCAUGCCCAUGCCAGGACCAGAGCCAGAGUUGAAAUGACCUUUGGCCUCCUGAAGGCACGCUUUCAGUGUCUUCGCAAGACAUGUGGCUUGUGCUGUCCUCCACAAUGUGGCCUGCCUGAGGAAGGAGAGGGCCCCCAGAGUGCCACCAGCCAUCCUGCAAUCUUCCCUGAUGACGACAGUGGUCGGCUAGUGAGGGACCAAUAUGUGUUUAAUUAAUUGUUAAUUGCUAGCUAACAUGCUAAUGCUAACAUGUUAAUGUUAAUUGCUAGCGCAUGAGCGCUAACAUGCUAAUGCUAAC
Molecule: long non-coding RNA, 1244 nt
Organism: Larimichthys crocea (large yellow croaker)
Lineage: Eukaryota; Metazoa; Chordata; Actinopteri; Sciaenidae
Exons: 7
Source: RefSeq, a predicted model, not a curated record